RNAcentral lists this long non-coding RNA (285 nucleotides) under Rattus norvegicus (Norway rat). Its description in RNAcentral is "long non-coding RNA NONRATT024705". Lineage: Eukaryota; Metazoa; Chordata; Mammalia; Rodentia; Muridae. The record is from RNAcentral.
GGCAGGUGCCUGCACAGGCAAGGCCUGCAGACAAUGACUGGAGCCAGGAUGGACAAGAAAAAAUGGCACCCAGAGGUAAGUGUUAGCCAGGCUAGGGCCAGACAGGGCCUCAGGACGGGUAUCUGUUUACCUCCCACAGCCCCACCCUCCCAACACCUUAGAUCCCACAAACCACCAGAUUGGUCGGCAGAUGACCGCUCCUUGCUUAAUCUAUGAAUCCAAGAUCAUUGGGUAUCAAAAUCUCCAACCACCUGGCAGCCAUGUCCUGUCCCAUACCUGAGGCCC